UACGUAGGUGGCGAGCGUUAUCCGGAAUUACUGGGUGUAAAGGGCGCGCAGGCGGCCCUGCAAGUCGGAUGUGAAAGAUCAAGGCUCAACCUUGACAGGCCAUUCGAAACUGUGGGACUUGAGUGUCAGAGGGGAAAGUGGAAUUCCUAGUGGAGCGGUAAAAUGCGCAGAUAUUAGGAGGAACACCGGUGGCGAAGGCGACUUUCUGGCUGACAACUGACGCUGAGGCGCGAAAGCGUGGGGAGGCAAACAGGAUUAGAUACCCU
This 266-nucleotide ribosomal RNA is filed under the name uncultured prokaryote. Its description in RNAcentral is "partial 16S ribosomal RNA". It matches the Rfam family "Bacterial small subunit ribosomal RNA", at positions 524 to 788 of the family's 1533-position model. The record is from RNAcentral.